UCCGGCAUGGUCUAGUGGCUAGGAUACCUGGCUCUCACCCAGGAGGCCCGGGUUCAAUUCCGGUGUCAGAA
Molecule: transfer RNA, 71 nt
Filed under: Caerostris extrusa
Lineage: Eukaryota; Metazoa; Arthropoda; Arachnida; Araneae; Araneidae
Description: tRNA-Glu
Rfam family: tRNA
About the family: Transfer RNA (tRNA) molecules are approximately 80 nucleotides in length. Their secondary structure includes four short double-helical elements and three loops (D, anti-codon, and T loops).
Source: RNAcentral